This 207-nucleotide ribosomal RNA is filed under the name uncultured bacterium. RNAcentral describes it as "partial 16S ribosomal RNA". It matches the Rfam family "Bacterial small subunit ribosomal RNA", at positions 568 to 774 of the family's 1533-position model. RNAcentral also lists the same sequence under 1 other name. The record is from RNAcentral.
CAUGCAGGCGGUUAAACAAGUAGGAUGUGAAAUCCCCGGGCUCAACCUGGGAACUGCAUUCUAAACUGUUUAACUAGAGUAUUGCAGGGGGAGACGGAAUUCCAGGUGUAGCGGUGGAAUGCGUAGAUAUCUGGAAGAACACCAAAGGCGAAGGCAGUCUCCUGGGCAAAUACUGACGCUCAGAUGCGAAAGCGUGGGUAGCAAACA